Molecule: non-coding RNA, 110 nt
Organism: Acanthosepion pharaonis
Lineage: Eukaryota; Metazoa; Mollusca; Cephalopoda; Sepiida; Sepiidae
Source: the annotation of a GenBank genome assembly
CUGCCAUAUCAUAUUGAAACAUUGGUUCCCAUAUGAUCACUGAAGUUAAGCAACAUUGAGCCUAGUCAGUACCAAGAUGGAUGACUCUUGGGAAUAUCAGAUGCUGUAAG